RNAcentral lists this ribosomal RNA (752 nucleotides) under bacterium L5(2011b). RNAcentral describes it as "bacterial SSU rRNA". It matches the Rfam family "Bacterial small subunit ribosomal RNA", at positions 401 to 1160 of the family's 1533-position model. The record is from RNAcentral.
GAAGGACGACGGCCCUAUGGGUUGUAAACUUCUUUUGUAUAGGGAUAAACCUUUCCACGUGUGGAAAGCUGAAGGUACUAUACGAAUAAGCACCGGCUAACUCCGUGCCAGCAGCCGCGGUAAUACGGAGGGUGCAAGCGUUAUCCGGAUUUAUUGGGUUUAAAGGGUCCGUAGGCGGAUCUGUAAGUCAGUGGUGAAAUCUCAUAGCUUAACUAUGAAACUGCCAUUGAUACUGCAGGUCUUGAGUAAAGUAGAAGUGGCUGGAAUAAGUAGUGUAGCGGUGAAAUGCAUAGAUAUUACUUAGAACACCAAUUGCGAAGGCAGGUCACUAUGUUUUAACUGACGCUGAUGGACGAAAGCGUGGGGAGCGAACAGGAUUAGAUACCCUGGUAGUCCACGCCGUAAAUGAUGCUAACUCGUUUUUGGGCUUUCGGGUUCAGAGACUAAGCGAAAGUGAUAAGUUAGCCACCUGGGGAGUACGUUCGCAAGAAUGAAACUCAAAGGAAUUGACGGGGGCCCGCACAAGCGGUGGAUUAUGUGGUUUAAUUCGAUGAUACGCGAGGAACCUUACCAAGGCCUAAAUGGGAAUUGACAGGUUUAGAAAUAGACUUUUCUUCGGACAAUUUUCAAGGUGCUGCAUGGUUGUCGUCAGCUCGUGCCGUGAGGUGUUAGGUUAAGUCCUGCAACGAGCGCAACCCCUGUCACUAGUUGCCAUCAUUCAGUUGGGGACUCUAGUGAGACUGCCUACCCAG